UAAGUUAUAGUUUAUUUGAUAGCACCUUACUACAUGGAUAACUGUGGUAAUUCUAGAGCUAAAACAUGCUAAAAAUCCCGACUUCGGAAGGGAUGUGUUUAUUAGAUUAAAAACCAAUGCCCUUCGGGGCUGCUUGGUGAUUCAUAAUAACCUCUCGAAUCGCACGGCCUUGCGCCGGCGAUGGUUCAUUCAAAUUUCUUCCCUAUCAACUUUCGAUGCGAAGGUAUUGUCUUCGCAUGGUUACAACGGGUAACGGAGGGUUAGGGCUCGACCCCGGAGAAGGAGCCUGAGAAACGGCUACUACAUCCAAGGAAGGCAGCAGGCGCGCAAAUUACCCAAUCCCGACACGGGGAGGUAGUGACAAUAAAUACUGAUACAGGGCUCUUUUGGGUCUUGUAAUUGGAAUGAGUACAAUUUAAAUCCCUUAACGAGGAACAAUUGGAGGGCAAGUCUGGUGCCAGCAGCCGCGGUAAUUCCAGCUCCAAUAGCGUAUAUUAAAGUUGUUGUGGUUAAAAAGCUCGUAGUUGAACCUUGGGCCUGGCUGGCCGGUCCCCCUCACCGGGUGCACUGGUCCGGCCGGGCCUUUCCCUCUGUGGAACCGCAUGCCCUUCACUGGGUGUGCCGGGGAAACAGGACUUUUACUUUGAAAAAAUUAGAGUGCUCCAGGCAGGCCUAUGCUCGAAUACAUUAGCAUGGAAUAAUAGAAUAGGACGUGUGGUUCUAUUUUGUUGGUUUCUAGGACCGCCGUAAUGAUUAAUAGGGACAGUCGGGGGCAUCAGUAUUCAAUUGUCAGAGGUGAAAUUCUUGGAUCUAUUGAAGACUAACUACUGCGAAAGCAUUUGCCAAGGAUGUUUUCAUUGAUAAGGAACGAAAGUUAGGGGAUCGAAGACGAUCAGAUACCGUCGUAGUCUUAACUAUAAACUAUGCCGACUAGGGAUCGGACGGUGUUUAUACUUGACCCGU
Molecule: ribosomal RNA, 963 nt
Filed under: Graphium carbonarium
Lineage: Eukaryota; Fungi; Ascomycota; Sordariomycetes; Microascales; Graphiaceae
Description: SSU rRNA
Rfam family: Eukaryotic small subunit ribosomal RNA
Source: RNAcentral